RNAcentral lists this ribosomal RNA (752 nucleotides) under Hydnophora exesa. RNAcentral's name for it is "eukaryotic LSU rRNA". It matches the Rfam family "Eukaryotic large subunit ribosomal RNA", at positions 30 to 612 of the family's 3401-position model. The record is from RNAcentral. Lineage: Eukaryota; Metazoa; Cnidaria; Anthozoa; Scleractinia; Merulinidae.
GAAUUUAAGCAUAUUAAUAAGCGGAGGAAAAGAAACUAACAAGGAUUCCCUCAGUAACGGCGAGUGAAGCGGGAAGAGCUCAAAUUUGAAAUCUCCGAUGCCUGCAUCGGCGAGUUGUAGUUGCGAGAAGCACUUUCUAGGCGGAUCGGCGGUGCCUAAGUUGCUUGGAACAGCACGUCGCAGAGGGUGACAACCCCGUCUGUGGCGCCGCCGGCCGCUGACGAUGCGCUUUCGAAGAGUCGGGUUGUUUGGGAAUGCAGCCCAAAAUGGGUGGUAAACUCCAUCUAAAGCUAAAUACUGGCGUGAGACCGAUAGCGAACAAGUACCGUGAGGGAAAGAUGAAAAGAACUUUGAAAAGAGAGUUAAAAAGUACGUGAAACCGUCGGAAGGGAAACGAAUGGACUCAGCAAUGCGCCCUCUGAGAUUCAGCCGGUGGGUGUGGUCGGCGCGGGGUUUGCGGAUCUGAAUGGACCGCGGCCCGGCGCUCGGCGCUCCCCCGCCGUCGCACUUCUCUGGGGCGCGCGUCAACGUGGGUUGGGACUGGGUCUGAAAGGUGCCGGGAAGGUAGGUGUGGGCCUUCGGGUCCGUUCUGUUACAGCCCGGUUCUCUCGUGGCUCGGGCCCGACCGAGGAGGAAGGGCAUGCCUCCUGUGGCUAGGGUCCCGUCCUUCCGGCCGGCUGUCCAGUGCGGUGGACUGCUUGCAGUGCUCCGCGACGGCUGCCGGUCGUUGGGGUGGUGAUCUCGUACCAUGC